AAAAAUAGUUUUGUUGUAAUUUGAAAGUUUGGCGGACUUCUCAUUCAGGGGUGUUACAUCUGAUAUAGUAAUGUAGGCCAAGGUUAGUCCCAUAUGCUGCUCCAUUACCUGUUCGUCAUAAAAGCAGCGAGCAUUCUGGGGUCUUUCGAUGGAGUGGAGGAGCGUAUGCACAUUCCCGAUAACAAUCAUUGGCCGUUUUCGAUAGUCGAAGAUCAUAGCCAUGAGGUCAGUUCGAAUCCAAGACAUUAUUGAGGUUCCGGUAGCAAUUAAAUUCUGAAAUUUGUAACUUGCUAGGAAAAUUUCUACUUUUUUUACGACAAGGGAAUACUUAGAAAAGAUUGCAACUUGAUAAUGUGGUGUAUUCAAUUUGACAUAGCAGCGCUGCUCCAUAUUCUUUCUAUAGAAGGUUUGUUUUGCGGUAAAGCUGACAGGGUGAGUUAUAUUAUAAAGACGACUACUUCUAUUUUUAUUUGCAUGGACAAUGGCUGGAAUACUGUGUCAGGAAAAGUCGCUUGUUAAAAAUCAAAUUCUCAGUCGAAACAUUACCUGCGGAUUAAAUGUAAAUAUAAAAAGGUGCUACAUAUCACCGAUAUUAUACCUUUGAAUGAAAUUCUAUUUAAGUGCUUUAUGUGUAAUUUUAGAUUAAAUUAGCUGAUAAGGUUUCUGUUGGGUUAAGUAUGUUUUAAAUGUAGUGUCCACCAUUUAUGAAUAAAAUGCGAUUUUUGUGUUUCAAUAAUCGCAUUCCAACAAACCUAAAGUCCUAAUUUAAGAAUCAGAUAAGUAUAUAUGAAUGUAAGUCACGAAGGUAAAAUUUAUGUUGAACGAUUUGUAAGAAAUGCCAACAAACAACUAGUCCCAUAACGAAAAAUGUUUUACUCUUGAAUGCUUUAAAUCUAUGCUUCUGUGAUGUUCGUAGUAUGCAAAUAUUUAUUUUUCCUACUCUAGUAGUAAAGUUCGCUGGUAUUGAGCUCACGUAUCGUUUUCUUCACUCUCAAAUAAUUGUCGUAACGAAGUAAUACUCCAAACUUUAAGAAGUUCCUUGUUGUUUCUUGUAUUAUUCGAUAUAGGCUCAACGGCAGAACUCACAAGAACAAUGGUGAAACUUUUUGUUGAAUAACGCGAGACACACAACCAUACUCGUACAUAUAGUUUAAACAAGAAUUGCAUAAUAGUGGCGAAGGUUGUUUGGAAUGAAGGAAAAAUCACGUAAAGACUUGAAUGAUUUUCUCUAGAAUAACGCCUUUUCAUUCUGGUCACACAAGUUGCAUUCAAACAUUUACUUUUUCAUGCUCAGUAUUAUUCGUAAUUUUCAA
This is an RNA transcript of Hermetia illucens (black soldier fly), 1313 nucleotides long. RefSeq lists it as uncharacterized. The transcript has 2 exons. The record is from RefSeq and is a predicted model, not a curated record. Lineage: Eukaryota; Metazoa; Arthropoda; Insecta; Diptera; Stratiomyidae.